AUUGAACGCUGGCGGCAUGCUUUACACAUGCAAGUCGAACGGCAGCACGGGGGCAACCCUGGUGGCGAGUGGCGAACGGGUGAGUAACACAUCGGAACGUGCCCAGUUGUGGGGGAUAACCUAUCGAAAGGUAGGCUAAUACCGCAUGAGCUCGGCAAGAGGAAAGCGGGGGACUCAGCGAUGGGCCUCGCGCGACUGGAGCGGCCGAUGUCCGAUUAGCAGUUGGUGGGGUAAAGGCUUACCAAGGCGACGAUCGGUAGCUGGUCUGAGAGGAUGAUCAGCCACACUGGGACUGAGACACGGCCCAGACUCCUACGGGAGGCAGCAGUGGGGAAUAUUGGACAAUGGGCGCAAGCCUGAUCCAGCGAUGCCGCGUGUGUGAAGAAGGCCUGCGGGUUGUAAAGCACUUUCAGUAGGGAAGAAAGCCGAGUGCUAAUAUCACUCGGUCUUG
RNAcentral lists this ribosomal RNA (451 nucleotides) under uncultured bacterium. Its description in RNAcentral is "bacterial SSU rRNA". It matches the Rfam family "Bacterial small subunit ribosomal RNA", at positions 29 to 477 of the family's 1533-position model. The record is from RNAcentral.